AAGUCGUAACAAGGUUUCCGUAGGUGAACCUGCGGAAGGAUCAUUAUCAAUUACUUGUGACUGCUUCUUUUUUGAGAAGUGGUUGUAUGUUUUUGUGCACUGUUUCUUUUUGGUUAUUUUUUCUUUCUGAGAAAAAGUAGUCAAGAUGAAUUUGAUUUUCUAUUAUUAUUUUUCUUAUUUACUUGUAACUUUUGUUAUAAAUAAUUAAAAAAAGACAACUUUCAGCAAUGGAUCUCUUGGCUCUU
Molecule: unclassified non-coding RNA, 245 nt
Filed under: Blastocladiella britannica
Lineage: Eukaryota; Fungi; Blastocladiomycota; Blastocladiomycetes; Blastocladiales; Blastocladiaceae
Description: partial internal transcribed spacer region
Rfam family: Eukaryotic small subunit ribosomal RNA (bases 1-46)
Source: RNAcentral